CGGGGACCGGCAGAACACAGGCAGUGCACGGCCGGCCGGCCGACCACGGUCCUGCUUCUCGGCUGACUCCACGCUUGCAGCCAAACUCGCAGCAUUAUUAAGAAUUUGGAAAGGUCACAGGGAAUUCUCUCACUACCCAUAGAGGGACUGCUGAAGCAUCUGAAAGCACCUGAUUCACUUAAAACAACAAGAUAAAACCUGAGCUGUUACAACAUGUCUAAAACUCGACGGGGCUCAUGAAGCACACGCAGGCGAACCUUCUUCCUUUCUUCUGCCCACAGAGAAGCUCAGCUAUGUAAAAGCCACUGGAGUCAUGGUUUCAAGAAAAGAAAAUGGUUUGUGUUUUUCUUAUCAUGGUGGAAGGGAGACACACACGGCUUAACAGUUAACAGCAAGAAGGAGCCUUUCAAAGACUUCCCCCUCCUCCCCCAGCUAAUUUCAGGGGACUCUGUUCCAGUGGGCAUUGAACAUAUACUGGUGGGCUGCCGUCUACGGGACACGACUGAAGCGACUCAGCAGCAGCAGCACAUCCAGCAAACAGAUUCAUAGAUAAUAUCCAUAAGAUCUGGAAACUAAAGAGCAAAUUGAGAACAGCACUUGGUAGAGUGGAGACCAGGAAGCUAAAACUGGAAAAUGCCCCACAGAUGAUUCCAACGCCAACAGAAAGGACAGGGCGGGGCAGGAGCGGUCAGCCUCGGCACUACGACAGCGGGGCCAGACAACUUUGUGUCUGGGGCUGCGGGCGGUCCUGUGCACCGCGGGGCCUUCAGCUGCAUCUCUGGUCUCUACCCACCACGCACAUCUUCCUCUGCACCCCGAGUCGUGACAACAAAGAAGAUCUCCAGUUCUGACAUGGAGAAUGGACCCGUGGACACGGUCGGGGGAGAGGGCGGGCUGAAGCGAGACAGCAGCUCUGAAAUAGAUAUGUGACUGUGUGUGGAACAGUGAGCUGAAGCGGGGCUGCUGUAUCACAGGGAGCUCAGCCCAGUGCUCUAUGAGGGCCUGGGUGGGGUGGGAGUGAGUGAGAGGGAGACCCAAGAGAGAGG
This is a long non-coding RNA of Bos indicus x Bos taurus (hybrid cattle), 1046 nucleotides long. The record is from Ensembl. Lineage: Eukaryota; Metazoa; Chordata; Mammalia; Artiodactyla; Bovidae.